Molecule: small nucleolar RNA, 134 nt
Organism: Suncus etruscus (white-toothed pygmy shrew)
Lineage: Eukaryota; Metazoa; Chordata; Mammalia; Eulipotyphla; Soricidae
Source: RefSeq, a predicted model, not a curated record
GACCAAAGUAUUGCACCUAAUUCAAGGUUGCCUCUCUGUUGUGGUACUUAAAUUUGAGGACAUUAAGACAUGAGCUGGGGAAAAUAACUGGAGAGAAGGUAUUUCUCUCUUCAUUUCCCUCCCAGCCUACAAAA